RNAcentral lists this transfer RNA (69 nucleotides) under Panulirus ornatus. Its description in RNAcentral is "tRNA-Leu". Lineage: Eukaryota; Metazoa; Arthropoda; Malacostraca; Decapoda; Palinuridae. The record is from RNAcentral.
AUUACUUUGGCAGAAUUAUGCAUUAGAUUUAGGAUCUAAUUAUAUAGAAUUUAAUGUCUAUAGGUAAUA